Molecule: ribosomal RNA, 497 nt
Filed under: uncultured bacterium
Lineage: Bacteria
Description: partial 16S ribosomal RNA
Rfam family: Bacterial small subunit ribosomal RNA
Source: RNAcentral
GAUGAACGCUGGCGGCGUGCCUAAUACAUGCAAGUCGAGCGAACAGACGAGGAGCUUGCUCCUCUGUCGUUAGCGGCGGACGGGUGAGUAACACGUGGAUAACCUACCUAUAAGACUGGGAUAACUUCGGGAAACCGGAGCUAAUACCGGAUAAUAUAUUGAACCGCAUGGUUCAAUAGUGAAAGACGGUUUUGCUGUCCCUUAUAGAUGGAUCCGCGUCGCAUUAGCUAGUUGGUAAGGUAACGGCUUACCAAGGCAACGAUGCGUAGCCGACCUAAAAGGGUGAUGUGCCACACUGGAACUGAGACACGGUCCAGACUCCUACGGGAGGCAGCAGUAGGGAAUCGUCCGCAAUGGUCGAAAACUUGACAGAGCAACGCCGCGUGAAUGAUGAAGGUCUUCGGAUCGUAAAACUCUGUUAUUAGGGAAGAACAAAUGUGUAAGUAACUAUGCACGUCUUGACGGUACCUAAUCAGAAAGCCACGGCUAACUACGUG